GACGAACGCUGGCGGCGUGCUUAACACAUGCCAGUCGAACGGAAAGGCCCUGCUUUUGUGGGGUGCUCGAGUGGCGAACGGGUGAGUAACACGUGAGUAACCUGCCCUUGACUUUGGGAUAACUUCAGGAAACUGGGGCUAAUACCGGAUAGGAGCUCCUGCUGCAUGGUGGGGGUUGGAAAGUUUCGGCGGUUGGGGAUGGACUCGCAGCUUAUGAGCUUGUUGGUGGGGUAGUGGCUUACCAAGGCUUUGACGGAUAGUCGGUCUGGGCGGUUGACCAGCCCCAUUAGGAUUAUAGUAAGGCCCAGAGUGAUACGGGCGGCAGAAGUGGAGAAUAUUGCACAAUGGGCGGAAGCCUGAUGCAGCAACGCAGCGUGCGGGAUGACGGCCUUCGGGUUGUAAGACGCAUUCGCCUGUGACGAAGCGAGAGUGACGAUAAUGGGUAAAGAAGCACCGGCUAACUACGUG
This 468-nucleotide ribosomal RNA is filed under the name uncultured bacterium. RNAcentral describes it as "partial 16S ribosomal RNA". It matches the Rfam family "Bacterial small subunit ribosomal RNA", at positions 28 to 507 of the family's 1533-position model. The record is from RNAcentral.